Molecule: ribosomal RNA, 433 nt
Filed under: uncultured bacterium
Lineage: Bacteria
Description: partial 16S ribosomal RNA
Rfam family: Bacterial small subunit ribosomal RNA
Source: RNAcentral
AACGAACGCUGGCGGCAUGCCUAACACAUGCAAGUCGAACGAGACCUUCGGGUCUAGUGGCGCACGGGUGCGUCACGCGUGGGAACCUGCCCUUAGGUUCGGAAUACCUCCUCGACAGGGGUGCUAAUACCGGAUAAUGUCUUCGGACCCAAGAUUGAUCGACCUUGGAGGGGCACGCGUUGGAUUAGCUUGUUGGUAGGGUAAAAGCCUAUCACGGCGACGCUACAUAGCUGGUCUGAGAGGAAGAGCAGCCACACUGGGACUAGGAUACGGCCGGGACUCCUACGGGAGGGAGCAGUGGGGGAUAUAGCAAAAUGGGGGAGAGCAUGAACCAGCUAGGCCGGGUAAGUGAUGAAGGCCGGAGGGAAGUAAAGCUCGUUAACCCGGGAUGAUAAUGACAGUACCGGAAGAAUAAGCACCGGCUAACUCCGUG